This 255-nucleotide ribosomal RNA is filed under the name uncultured Glomus. RNAcentral describes it as "partial 18S ribosomal RNA". It matches the Rfam family "Eukaryotic small subunit ribosomal RNA", at positions 1578 to 1831 of the family's 1831-position model. Lineage: Eukaryota; Fungi; Glomeromycota; Glomeromycetes; Glomerales; Glomeraceae. The record is from RNAcentral.
AGAGCAUUGCAAUUAUUGCUCUUCACGAGGAAAUCCCUAGUAAGCACAAGUCAUCAGCUUGUGUUGAUUACGUCCCUGCCCUUUGUACACACCGCCCGUCGCUACUACCGAUUGAAUGGCUUAGUGAGACCCUCGGAUCGGUGAUCAGAAGCUUUAACCGGCAUCUGUUCGCUGAGAAGUUGGUCAAACUUGGUCAUUUAGAGGAAGUAAAAGUCGUAACAAGGUUUCCGUAGGUGACCUGCGGAAGGAUCAUUA